CACCACUCAAGCCUCGCUUGGUAUUGGGCGCCGCGGCCUCGUCCGCGCGCCUCGAAAUCUCCGGCUGAGCCGUCCGUCUCCCCGCGUUGUGAACUUCAUGUUUCGCUGCGGAGCUCGGGCGACUGCGGCCGUUAAAUCUCAUCACA
Molecule: unclassified non-coding RNA, 146 nt
Filed under: uncultured Mycosphaerella
Lineage: Eukaryota; Fungi; Ascomycota; Dothideomycetes; Mycosphaerellales; Mycosphaerellaceae
Description: sequence contains ITS2
Source: RNAcentral